GCGUGGCACUGGCGUGGAGCCCCUCAGACGUGUCCCUGGGCUGAGGCGUUCCUGUCACUUCUCCCCAUGUCCCAGGUGCAGUUGGCUGGACGCGGGUGUCGGUGCCUGUUGGCGAAUCCCAUUUUCCUGAUCCGCGAUGCCCUACCUGUGAGGCGAGGACGCCCAUCGAGAGGCAGGGUGUGUAGGAUGUGGUCAGCUGGGAGUCGCCCACAUCUGCAGUGCAGUUGGCUGGACGCGGGUGUCGGUGCCUGUUGGCGAAUCCCAUUUUCCUGAUCCGCGAUGCCCUACCUGUGAGGCGAGGACGCCCAUCGAGAGGCAGGGUGUGUAGGAUGUGGUCAGCUGGGAGUCGCCCACAUCUGCAGUGCAGUUGGCUGGACGCGGGUGUCGGUGCCUGUUGGCGAAUCCCGUUUUCCUGAUCCGCGAUGCCCUACCUGUGAGGCGAGGACGCCCAUCGAGAGGCAGGGUGUGUAGGAUGUGGUCAGCUGGGAGUCGCCCACAUCUGCAGUGCAGUUGGCUGGACGCGGGUGUCGGUGCCUGUUGGCGAAUCCCAUUUUCCUGAUCCGCGAUGCCCUACCUGUGAGGCGAGGACGCCCAUCGAGAGGCAGGGUGUGUAGGAUGUGGUCAGCUGGGAGUCGCCCACAUCUGCAGUGCAGUUGGCUGGACGCGGGUGUCGGUGCCUGUUGGCGAAUCCCAUUUUCCUGAUCCGCGAUGCCCUACCUGUGAGGCGAGGACGCCCAUCGAGAGGCAGGGUGUGUAGGAUGUGGUCAGCUGGGAGUCGCCCACAUCUGCAGUGCAGUUGGCUGGACGCGGGUGUCGGUGCCUGUUGGCGAAUCCCAUUUUCCUGAUCCGCGAUGCCCUACCUGUGAGGCGAGGACGCCCAUCGAGAGGCAGGGUGUGUAGGAUGUGGUCAGCUGGGAGUCGCCCACAUCUGCAGUGGAGUUGGCUGGACGCGGGUGUCGGUGCCUGUUGGCGAAUCCCAUUUUCCUGAUCCGCGAUGCCCUACCUGUGAGCCGAGGACGCCCAUGGAGAGUCAGGGUGUGUAGGCUGUGGUCACCUGGGAGUCGCCCACAUCUGCGGUUGGAAGUAAGAUGGCAGUUGCAUGGAAUUCUUGCCACUUCACCAAAGAAUACUUGAUUUUGUCACUUUUACCAACUCCCUUAUCUGAGAAGAAACAAUGAUGCACUCUGAAGAUAAUGAUGGAUGCAUAUGCCAUUUCCAGAGAGUGAGAUGACAAAUUAUUUUUAAGUCAGUGGUUCUCCAUUGCUACCUGUGGCCUUUUGGACACCCUUGCAGAUUACUUCUUGGGAACUCUUGGGUAUGAAUGAUACCAGUAAAUCUCUGAAACAAGACUCUUCAGACAAGGAGACUGUGGUCUGAGGACCACACUUUGAAGGUGGUGACCACCAAUAUGAGGUCGAUUUGUUAUUGAGGGUGCCAUUACUUCUACCACCAACUGCACCAAAACAAUGAUACACUCUUCUUUAUGCUUGGCGAUUCCUCUCUUUCCCGUGUUGCAGUGGAUACCUCCUGCAGAUAAGAAAUGCUUAACUGAGAAAUGCUCAUGUUGGGAUAUCAUCGAUGAGACUUUAAUUUGGGCAUGGUGACUGUUUCCCUUGCUGCCACUUGACUCAAUCCCAGGAGCCUCAGUAGAGGAAAUAUUAUUAUACAAGAAACUCAAAAUGGUGGAAUUUCUCAGUGCUCCCAUAAAUAUACAUUUAUAAUUUCCAUUUACCAUAUGGUAAAAAUUUUAAAUAGGAUAUAUUAAAAUAAACUGCACAAUUUUUUUCAAAAAUUCAAAGCAUAUUUAAAUAUCUAAUAUAUAAAUUAUGUGCCCUCCUCUCUGCAAGUUCUCUCCCCCAGAGUUUUCUUCUCUUAAGAGUUGUGUGCAUUCUUUAAGUGGAUAGAUGCACACACACAGACACACAUAUACACAAACUAUUUAGAGGGGUUUUGGAAGUGGGGCCAUACUGUACACAUUCUUCUGCAAAUUGCCUUUCAUUUUACAGUUUUAAUACCCUUUUCUAUUUCAAUAAUAUACAUCUGUGUCAUUUGUUGAAUGACUGCAUGACUGUUUUGUAGAUGAAAUAUAAUUAAAUGUUAUAAGACUUUCUCAUCCAUAGAUAUUUGUUAGCACAAAAUUUUUGUGCAGUGAACCUCCCUAUCAAUAAUUUUGCAUUUGUCUCUUAUAUCAUAAUAAAUUACUUAGCAGUUGAAAUACUGGGAUUAUGCACAUUUAAAAUUAUUACAAGAUUUCCUUAAAAUGUGGUAACAACUUUAUCUUCAAAUGGCAAUGAAUGAGAUUGCCAGCUUUCCCACAACUACACAGAUAAUGGAUUUUAUAAAUAUUUAAACUUUUUGCAAAUGUGAUAGCCCAAACUAUUGUCUUAAAUUGUAUUUCUUUUGUUUUUGAGUUUGAUCAUUUUUUCAUAUGUUUAUUAGCCAUUUGUAUUCUUUAAUUUCCUCUUUAUGUCCAAUUUUGGGGGUGGAGGUUUAAUCUUCUAAUUUUGAAGAGCUAAUUUAUUAUUGAGGAAAAAAGGUUUGGAUUGUUAAGCUUUACAGAUAUUUUUUAUGCACUUUUAAACUUUAUUUUUGUUAUAAGAAUGUGUAUGAUUGUUAUAUGUCCAAGUAUAACCAUGUUUGCUUUAAUGGCUUAUGAGUUUCAUGACAUUUUGGAAAAAUAUUUAUACUGAUUUCAUAAAACCGUUCACCUAUGUUAA
Mustela erminea (ermine) is the source of this 2717-nucleotide long non-coding RNA. RefSeq lists it as uncharacterized. The record is from RefSeq and is a predicted model, not a curated record. The transcript has 11 exons. Lineage: Eukaryota; Metazoa; Chordata; Mammalia; Carnivora; Mustelidae.